Molecule: transfer RNA, 84 nt
Filed under: Felis catus (domestic cat)
Lineage: Eukaryota; Metazoa; Chordata; Mammalia; Carnivora; Felidae
Rfam family: tRNA
About the family: Transfer RNA (tRNA) molecules are approximately 80 nucleotides in length. Their secondary structure includes four short double-helical elements and three loops (D, anti-codon, and T loops). Further hydrogen bonds mediate the characteristic L-shaped molecular structure. tRNAs have two regions of fundamental functional importance: the anti-codon, which is responsible for specific mRNA codon recognition, and the 3' end, to which the tRNAs corresponding amino acid is attached (by aminoacyl-tRNA synthetases). tRNAs cope with the degeneracy of the genetic code in two manners: having more than one tRNA (with a specific anti-codon) for a particular amino acid; and 'wobble' base-pairing, i.e. permitting non-standard base-pairing at the 3rd anti-codon position.
Source: Rfam by way of RNAcentral
ACCUGGGUGGCUUAGUCGGUUAAGCGUCUGACUUCAGCUCAGGUCAUGAUCUUGCCUUCAUGGGUUCAAGCCCCCUAUCAGGCU